UGGGGAAUAUUGCACAAUGGGCGCAAGCCUGAUGCAGCCAUGCCGCGUGUGUGAAGAAGGCCUUCGGGUUGUAAAGCACUUUCAGCGAGGAGGAAGGUGGUGAGCUUAAUACGCUCAUCAAUUGACGUUACUCGCAGAAGAAGCACCGGCUAACUCCGUGCCAGCAGCCGCGGUAAUACGGAGGGUGCAAGCGUUAAUCGGAAUUACUGGGCGUAAAGCGCACGCAGGCGGUUUGUUAAGUCAGAUGUGAAAUCCCCGGGCUCAACCUGGGAACUGCAUUUGAAACUGGCAAGCUAGAGUCUCGUAGAGGGGGGUAGAAUUCCAGGUGUAGCGGUGAAAUGCGUAGAGAUCUGGAGGAAUACCGGUGGCGAAGGCGGCCCCCUGGACGAAGACUGACGCUCAGGUGCGAAAGCGUGGGGCAGCAAACAGGAUUAGAUACCCUGGUAGUCCAGCGCUGUAAACGAUGUCGAUUUGGAGGUUGUGCCCCUUGAGGCGUGGCUUCCGGAGCUAACGCGUUAAAUCGACCGCCUGGGGAGUACGGCCGCAAGGUUAAAACUUAAAUGAAUUGAC
RNAcentral lists this ribosomal RNA (570 nucleotides) under uncultured bacterium. RNAcentral describes it as "partial 16S ribosomal RNA". It matches the Rfam family "Bacterial small subunit ribosomal RNA", at positions 355 to 914 of the family's 1533-position model. The record is from RNAcentral.